Molecule: ribosomal RNA, 277 nt
Filed under: uncultured bacterium
Lineage: Bacteria
Description: partial 16S ribosomal RNA
Rfam family: Bacterial small subunit ribosomal RNA
Source: RNAcentral
GACAAACGCUGGCGGCGUGCCUAAGACAUGCAAGUCGGACGGGGGGCUUCGGCCCCUAGUGGCGGACGGGUGAGGAGCGCGUGACUGACCUGCCCACGGGUGGGGGAUACCCGGCAGAAAUGCCGGCUAAGACCGCAUGAGACCCGUCGCUGCGAGGCGGUGGGGGAAAGCCUUCGGGCGCCGGUGGAGGGGGUCGCGACGGAUUAGCUAGUUGGCGGGGUAAGGGCCCACCAAGGCCGCGAUCCGUAGCUGGUCUGAGAGGACGGCCAGCCACACU